CUUACACAUGCAGUCGAACGGAAAGGCCCUUUCGGGGGUACUCGAGUGGCGAACGGGUGAGUAACACGUGGGUGAUCUGCCCUGCACUUUGGGAUAAGCCUGGGAAACUGGGUCUAAUACCGAAUAUGAUCAUCGGCUUCAUGGUCGGUGGUGGAAAGCUUUUGCGGUGUGGGAUGGGCCCGCGGCCUAUCAGCUUGUUGGUGGGGUAAUGGCCUACCAAGGCGACGACGGGUAGCCGGCCUGAGAGGGUGUCCGGCCACACUGGGACUGAGAUACGGCCCAGACUCCUACGGGAGGCAGCAGUGGGGAAUAUUGCACAAUGGGCGCAAGCCUGAUGCAGCGACGCCGCGUGAGGGAUGACGGCCUUCGGGUUGUAAACCUCUUUCGCCAGGGACGAAGCGCAAGUGACGGUACCUGGAGAAGAAGCACCGGCCAACUACGUGCCAGCAGCCGCGGUAAUACGUAGGGUGCGAGCGUUGUCCGGAAUUACUGGGCGUAAAGAGCUCGUAGGUGGUUUGUCGCGUUGUUCGUGAAAACUCACAGCUUAACUGUGGGCGUGCGGGCGAUACGGGCAGACUGGAGUACUGCAGGGGAGACUGGAAUUCCUGGUGUAGCGGUGGAAUGCGCAGAUAUCAGGAGGAACACCGGUGGCGAAGGCGGGUCUCUGGGCAGUAACUGACGCUGAGGAGCGAAAGCGUGGGGAGCGAACAGGAUUAGAUACCCUGG
This 726-nucleotide ribosomal RNA is filed under the name Mycolicibacterium parafortuitum. RNAcentral describes it as "bacterial SSU rRNA". It matches the Rfam family "Bacterial small subunit ribosomal RNA", at positions 48 to 790 of the family's 1533-position model. The record is from RNAcentral. Lineage: Bacteria; Bacillati; Actinomycetota; Actinomycetes; Mycobacteriales; Mycobacteriaceae.